This 468-nucleotide ribosomal RNA is filed under the name uncultured bacterium. RNAcentral describes it as "partial 16S ribosomal RNA". It matches the Rfam family "Bacterial small subunit ribosomal RNA", at positions 28 to 507 of the family's 1533-position model. The record is from RNAcentral.
GACGAACGCUGGCGGCGUGCUUAACACAUGCAAGUCGAACGGAAAGGCCCUUCUUUUGUGGGGUGCUCGAGUGGCGAACGGGUGAGUAACACGUGAGUGACCUGCCCUGGACUUUGGGAUAACUUCAGGAAACUGGGUCUAAUACCGGAUAGGAGCUCCUGCUGCAUGGUGGGGGUUGGAAAGUUUCGGCGGUUGGGUAUGGACUCGCGGCUUAUCAUCUUGUUGGUGGGGUAGUGGCUUACCAAGGCUUUGACGGGUAGCCGGCCUGAGAGGGUGACCGGCCACAUUGGGACUGGGAUACGGCCCAAACUCCUACGGGAGGCAGCAGUGGGGAAUUUUGCACAAUGGGCGGAAGCCUGAUGCAGCAACGCCGGGUGCGGGAUGACGGCCUUCGGGUUGUAAACCGUUUUCGACUGUGACGAAGCGUGAGUGACGGUAAUGGGUAAAGAAGCACCGGCUAACUACGUG